UUGGACCCACAUAGCCACAUAAGAAGCGAAGGGGCAACUGAAAGGCAAAGAACUCAGCUGAAACGAUGGCUUGAGAAAGCAGUGCUGCUCUUCAGACAAUGUUUGUUGACUACAGCUUGCUGUGAAAACAGUGGCAGACAGACGGGCUUGCACACUGUACCUGAGGGCGACUGGAUCUUUCAGAGCAAAGCUGAACUGUGCAUAGUCCUCAAAGAGAAAGGAGAUUCUGAGACUGCUGAGUGGAAACAUGAUGGGAAAGAAAGGUAGGAGAAUUGCAGAAAGAUGGAGGGAUAGCUCACCCCUUGUAUUUUAAUUGCAACCGGACAAUAAAUGUUGGGCAAAAAACUGGAAAAAGCCAGCUCAAGAAAGCAUGUUCCUCUUUACUCA
Molecule: long non-coding RNA, 387 nt
Filed under: Chinchilla lanigera (long-tailed chinchilla)
Lineage: Eukaryota; Metazoa; Chordata; Mammalia; Rodentia; Chinchillidae
Description: lncRNA (ENSCLAG00000022588.1)
Source: RNAcentral